AGUUCAUAACAGAAUUACAAGCUUUACUACUCAACUUCACCACUAGGCUUUUCUCCAAAAAGCAACUCAUAAUUAAAAAGAAAAUGAUACUGUCCUUAGAGAGUAAAUAUUUUGCUUUUGUUGAUGAUACACAAAAAGAAUCUGCUGUAUACUUUCAAGAAAGUUUUGAAAACGUUUUGAAUUUGUGAGGAUAGCAAGUAUGCACUCCGGAGUCUAAUGACCUUGGGUAUAUCAACCUUUUGUGUCUAUAAUCUCACCUGUAAUAUGGGGAAACAAUGGUUCCCACUGAUGUGACUACUGUAGGAAUUAAAUGAAUAAACAUGUGACAAUUCUAGUACACCUCCCUCCCACUAAAAGAAUAGACUUUAUUUUUAAAAGUAGUUUUAGUUUCACAGCAAAAUCGAGCAGCAAGUACAGAGAGUUACAAAUAUUCUCUUACUCGACACAUGCAUAGACCCCCACUAUCAACAUCCCAAAGCAGAAUGGUACAUUUGUUACAAUGAAUAAAUCUACAUUGACAGAUCUUUAUCACCCAAAGUCCAUGGUUUACAUUAGGGUUCACUCUUGGUGUUGUGCAUUUUAUGGGUUUGAACAAAUGUAUAAUGACGUGUAUGUACCAUUAUAGUUCCACACAAAAUAGUUUCACUUCCCUAAGCAUCCUCUGUGUCGCCUCUGUCUACCCCUCACUCCUCUCUAACUGCUGGCAACCAUUAACAUUUUUACUGUUUCCAAAGUUUUACCUUUUCCAGCUAGUCAUGUAGUUGGAAUCAUUUGGUUUAUGCGACAUAAUUAAUGAGCAUUUAUGUCGAAGUGUUUUGAGGAGCAUUAGCUUACAUGAAACACAGAAUGAAAUAAAAAGAGGUUAAUGUCAGUAGUAAUAGUAUAAAUUGAAAAUGUGCUGGCAUAAAAGAAGGAUGGAAUCAUAUUGCCUGAAGUAAUCAGAGAAGAUAUUCUGGAGAGUAUAGGACUAAAUCUGGAUCUGGAACUGUGGAGAAAUUUCUGAUGAUGAAUAGGGGGAGGAAAUAGCUCAAGUUAAGGAAAAAAGGUGGAGCUAAAUGCAACUUUUGUGAGGGAUGGUGAGGAGUGUACCACAGUCCACUGAAGAAUUCAUGUGGGGAGUUGAGAGGACUAAAUUGAUAAAGUCAGGUUAUUAGAGGGCAUAAAUUAGAAACAUUUAGCUUUUAUAUUAUUUACACUAGAAAUUCUUGCACAGAAAACUGAUCCCAUGAUAAACACCUUAGGAAAAUUAAUCUGGCAUUAGUAUGCAGAAAAACUGUAAGAGGAGAGGGUUUAGAAAACUCUGUGGAAACAUUGAUCUCAGUUCAUAUGGGAAAUAUUGAAUCUGUUGGAAAGGGUGGAGGUGGGGAAGAUAUGCAGAGGGAAGAAAAGAUAGUUCAUUCAAAUUGAACUCUCAACAUAAAAUAUGAGGAAAAAAGCAGAGAGUCAGGAUUACUCCUGUGCUUCUAUGUUUGGAAGAAUGGGGAAAAAAUGAGACCAUUGAUGGAAAUACACAAGUUGGAAGUAGAGCUAGUUUAGGGAUAAUUAUGAAUUUGGUUUUCAUAAUCUAAAGUAAUGGUAAUAUAAGUAAGUAGUAUGUUUCUAAUGGCAGUUCUCAAUUUGGGGUUUAAGCAAGAGGUCAAGGUAAGAACCAUAGAUUUGGG
RNAcentral lists this long non-coding RNA (1661 nucleotides) under Homo sapiens (human). RNAcentral's name for it is "HSALNT0366962". Lineage: Eukaryota; Metazoa; Chordata; Mammalia; Primates; Hominidae. The record is from RNAcentral.